AGGACGAACGCUGGCGGCGUGCUUAACACAUGCAAGUCGAGCGGAAAGGCCCUUCGGGGUACUCGAGCGGCGAACGGGUGAGUAACACGUGAGUAACCUGCCCCUAGCUCUGGGAUAGCUCCGGGAAACCGGGAUUAAUACCAGAUACGACCACUUUAGACAUCUUUUGUGGUGGAAAGGAUUCCGGCUAGGGAUGGGCUCGCGGCCUAUCAGCUUGUUGGUGGGGUAACGGCCUACCAAGGCGACGACGGGU
This 253-nucleotide ribosomal RNA is filed under the name uncultured bacterium. Its description in RNAcentral is "partial small subunit ribosomal RNA". It matches the Rfam family "Bacterial small subunit ribosomal RNA", at positions 26 to 284 of the family's 1533-position model. The record is from RNAcentral.